RNAcentral lists this ribosomal RNA (446 nucleotides) under uncultured bacterium. RNAcentral's name for it is "partial 16S ribosomal RNA". It matches the Rfam family "Bacterial small subunit ribosomal RNA", at positions 338 to 795 of the family's 1533-position model. The record is from RNAcentral.
CCUACGGGUGGCUGCAGUCGAGAAUCAUUCACAAUGGGGGAAACCCUGAUGGUGCGACGCCGCGUGGGGGAAUGAAGGUCUUCGGACUGUAAACCCCUGUCAUGUGGGAGCAAAUUAAAAAGAUAGUACCACAAGAGGAAGAGACGGCUAACUCUGUACCAGCAGCCGCGGUAAUACAGAGGUCUCAAGCGUUGUUCGGAAUCACUGGGCGUAAGGCGUGCGUAGGCUGUUUCGUAAGUCGUGUGUGAAAGGCGCGGGCUCAACCCGCGGACGGAACAUGAUACUGCGAGACUAGAGUAAUGGAGGGGGAACCGGAAUUCUCGGUGUAGCAGUGAAAUGCGUAGAUAUCGAGAGGAACACUCGUGGCGAAGGCGGGUUCCUGGACAUUAACUGACGCUGAGGCACGAAGGCCAGGGGAGCGAAAGGGAUUAGAUACCCCAGUAGUC